GGUUAAGCGACUAAGCGUACACGGUGGAUGCCCUGGCAGUCAGAGGCGAUGAAGGACGUGCUAAUCUGCGAAAAGCGUCGGUAAGGUGAUAUGAACCGUUACAGCCGGCGAUGUCCGAAUGGGGAAACCCAGUGCAAUUCGUUGCACUAUCGUUAACUGAAUACAUAGGUUAACGAGGCGAACCGGGGGAACUGAAACAUCUAAGUACCCCGAGGAAAAGAAAUCAACCGAGAUUCCCCCAGUAGCGGCGAGCGAACGGGGAGCAGCCCAGAGUCUGAAUCAGCUUGUGUGUUAGUGGAACGGUCUGGAAAGUCCGACGGUACAGGGUGAUAGUCCCGUACACCAAAAUGCACAGGUUGUGAACUCGAAGAGUAGGGCGGGACACGUGGUAUCCUGUCUGAAUAUGGGGGGACCAUCCUCCAAGGCUAAAUACUCCUGACUGACCGAUAGUGAACCAGUACCGUGAGGGAAAGGCGAAAAGAACCCCGGCGAGGGGAGUGAAAAAGAACCUGAAACCGUGUACGUACAAGCAGUGGGAGCACCUUUAUGGUGUGACUGCGUACCUUUUGUAUAAUGGGUCAGCGACUUAUAUUCUGUAGCAAGGUUAACCGUAUAGGGGAGCCGCAGGGAAACCGAGUCUUAACUGGGCGUUAAGUUGCAGGGUAUAGACCCGAAACCCGGUGAUCUAGCCAUGGGCAGGUUGAAGGUUGGGUAACACUAACUGGAGGACCGAACCGACUAAUGUUGAAAAAUUAGCGGAUGACUUGUGGCUGGGGGUGAAAGGCCAAUCAAACCGGGAGAUAGCUGGUUCUCCCCGAAAGCUAUUUAGGUAGCGCCUCGUGAAUUCAUCUUCGGGGGUAGAGCACUGUUUCGGCUAGGGGGUCAUCCCGACUUACCAACCCGAUGCAAACUACGAAUACCGAAGAAUGUUAUCACGGGAGACACACGGCGGGUGCUAACGUCCGUCGUGAAGAGGGAAACAACCCAGACCGCCAGCUAAGGUCCCAAAGUCAUGGUUAAGUGGGAAACGAUGUGGGAAGGCACAGACAGCCAGGAUGUUGGCUUAGAAGCAGCCAUCAUUUAAAGAAAGCGUAAUAGCUCACUGGUCGAGUCGGCCUGCGCGGAAGAUGUAACGGGGCUAAACCAUGCACCGAAGCUGCGGCAGCGACACUAUGUGUUGUUGGGUAGGGGAGCGUUCUGUAAGCCUGCGAAGGUGGCCUGUGAGGGUUGCUGGAGGUAUCAGAAGUGCGAAUGCUGACAUAAGUAACGAUAAAGCGGGUGAAAAGCCCGCUCGCCGGAAGACCAAGGGUUCCUGUCCAACGUUAAUCGGGGCAGGGUGAGUCGACCCCUAAGGCGAGGCCGAAAGGCGUAGUCGAUGGGAAACAGGUUAAUAUUCCUGUACUUGGUGUUACUGCGAAGGGGGGACGGAGAAGGCUAUGUUAGCCGGGCGACGGUUGUCCCGGU
RNAcentral lists this ribosomal RNA (1464 nucleotides) under Klebsiella variicola. RNAcentral's name for it is "partial 23S ribosomal RNA". It matches the Rfam family "Bacterial large subunit ribosomal RNA", at positions 1 to 1511 of the family's 2925-position model. The record is from RNAcentral. Lineage: Bacteria; Pseudomonadati; Pseudomonadota; Gammaproteobacteria; Enterobacterales; Enterobacteriaceae.